RNAcentral lists this ribosomal RNA (419 nucleotides) under uncultured bacterium. RNAcentral's name for it is "bacterial SSU rRNA". It matches the Rfam family "Bacterial small subunit ribosomal RNA", at positions 355 to 767 of the family's 1533-position model. The record is from RNAcentral.
UAGGGAAUAUUGGACAAUGGGGGCAACCCUGAUCCAGCCAUGCCGCGUGAGUGAAGAAGGCCCUCGGGUUGUAAAGCUCUUUUGUCCGGAAAGAAAAGCAUUCGGUGAAUACCCGGAUGUUCUGACGGUACCGGAAGAAUAAGCACCGGCUAACUUCGUGCCAGCAGCCGCGGUAAUACGAAGGGUGCAAGCGUUACUCGGAAUUACUGGCGUAAAGCGUGCGUAGGUGGUUGUUUAAGUCUGAUGUGAAAGCCCUGGGCUCAACCUGGGAAUGGCAUUGGAAACUGGGCAGCUAGAGUGCGGUAGAGGGUAGUGGAAUUCCCGGUGUAGCAGUGAAAUGCGUAGUGAUCGGGAGGAACAUCUGUGGCGAAGGCGACUGCCUGGACCAGCACUGACACUGAGGCACGAAAGCGUGGGGA